Molecule: ribosomal RNA, 241 nt
Filed under: uncultured Actinomycetales bacterium
Lineage: Bacteria; Bacillati; Actinomycetota; Actinomycetes; Actinomycetales
Description: partial 16S ribosomal RNA
Rfam family: Bacterial small subunit ribosomal RNA
Source: RNAcentral
ACUCGAGUGGCGAACGGGUGAGUAACACGUGGGUGAUCUGCCCUGCACUUCGGGAUAAGCUUGGGAAACUGGGUCUAAUACCGGAUAGGAGCCAUCUUUAGUGUGGUGGUUGGAAAGUUUUUCGGUGUAGGAUGGGCUCGCGGCCUAUCAGCUUGUUGGUGGGGUAAUGGCCUACCAAGGCGGCGACGGGUAGCCGGCCUGAGAGGGUGUACGGCCACAUUGGGACUGAGAUACGGCCCAG